GAGGCAGCAGUGGGGAAUAUUGCACAAUGGGGGAAACCCUGAUGCAGCGACGCCGCGUGGAGGAAGAAGGUCUUCGGAUUGUAAACUCCUGUUGUUGAGGAAGAUAAUGACGGUACUCAACAAGGAAGUGACGGCUAACUACGUGCCAGCAGCCGCGGUAAAACGUAGGUCACAAGCGUUGUCCGGAAUUACUGGGUGUAAAGGGAGCGCAGGCGGGAAGACAAGUUGGAAGUGAAAUCCAUGGGCUCAACCCAUGAACUGCUUUCAAAACUGUUUUUCUUGAGUAGUGCAGAGGUAGGCGGAAUUCCCGGUGUAGCGGUGGAAUGCGUAGAUAUCGGGAGGA
This 343-nucleotide ribosomal RNA is filed under the name uncultured bacterium. RNAcentral describes it as "bacterial SSU rRNA". It matches the Rfam family "Bacterial small subunit ribosomal RNA", at positions 345 to 705 of the family's 1533-position model. The record is from RNAcentral.